This 477-nucleotide ribosomal RNA is filed under the name Weissella cibaria. RNAcentral describes it as "bacterial SSU rRNA". It matches the Rfam family "Bacterial small subunit ribosomal RNA", at positions 61 to 520 of the family's 1533-position model. Lineage: Bacteria; Bacillati; Bacillota; Bacilli; Lactobacillales; Lactobacillaceae. The record is from RNAcentral.
GNAGAGCUUGCUCAGAUAUGACGAUGGACAUUGCAAAGAGUGGCGAACGGGUGAGUAACACGUGGGAAACCUACCUCUUAGCAGGGGAUAACAUUUGGAAACAGAUGCUAAUACCGUAUAACAAUAGCAACCGCAUGGUUGCUACUUAAAAGAUGGUUCUGCUAUCACUAAGAGAUGGUCCCGCGGUGCAUUAGUUAGUUGGUGAGGUAAUGGCUCACCAAGACGAUGAUGCAUAGCCGAGUUGAGAGACUGAUCGGCCACAAUGGGACUGAGACACGGCCCAUACUCCUACGGGAGGCAGCAGUAGGGAAUCUUCCACAAUGGGCGAAAGCCUGAUGGAGCAACGCCGCGUGUGUGAUGAAGGGUUUCGGCUCGUAAAACACUGUUGUAAGAGAAGAAUGACAUUGAGAGUAACUGUUCAAUGUGUGACGGUAUCUUACCAGAAAGGAACGGCUAAAUACGUGCCAGCAGCCGCGG